CUUUUGAUGGCGACCGGCGCACGGGUGAGUAACACGUAUCCAACCUGCCUCAUACUCGGGGAUAGCCUUUCGAAAGAAAGAUUAAUACCCGAUGUUAUAGUCCUACCGCAUGAUGGGAUUAUUAAAGAAUUUCGGUAUGGGAUGGGGAUGCGUUCCAUUAGUUAGUUGGCGGGGUAACGGCCCACCAAAGCGACGAUCGGUAGCCGGACUGAGAGGUUGAACGGCCACAUUGGGACUGAGACACGGCCCAGACUCCUACGGAAGGCAGCAG
This 271-nucleotide ribosomal RNA is filed under the name uncultured bacterium. RNAcentral describes it as "partial 16S ribosomal RNA". It matches the Rfam family "Bacterial small subunit ribosomal RNA", at positions 78 to 354 of the family's 1533-position model. The record is from RNAcentral.